GUCUCGCCCAGUGGAAUCAAUCGUGAAAGAGGUCGCGGAACUUUGGAAAGAGGGAGUCAAAGAGGUUACGCUUCUCGGCCAAAAUGUAAAUAGCUAUAAUGAUACAUCUGGAGUUGAAAAUCCGGAUGAACCAGCAGUCAGUUGGGAACUUAGUGAUGGAUUCUCCAGCAUGUUUAAAGUAAAACAUGUGGGUCUACGGUUUGCUGAUCUCCUAGAUAGACUUGCCAUAGAAUUUCCUGAAAUGCGGUUCAGAUACACUUCCCCACAUCCUAAAGAUUUUCCAGAUGAUUUGUUGUAUGUAAUGCGGGACAGGUACAAUAUCUGCAAAAGCAUUCAUUUGCCAGCACAAUCAGGC
This 355-nucleotide unclassified non-coding RNA is filed under the name Hevea brasiliensis (rubber tree). The record is from RNAcentral. Lineage: Eukaryota; Viridiplantae; Streptophyta; Magnoliopsida; Malpighiales; Euphorbiaceae.